CUACGGGACGCACCAGUCGAGAAUCUUCCACAAUGGGCGAAAGCCUGAUGGAGCGACGCCGCGUGCAUGAUGAAGCCCUUCGGGGUGUAAAGUGCUUUUCUGCCGGAGAAAUUAACUUCGGUUGAUGAUGUUAUGGUAGGAAUAAGGGGCGGCUAACUUCGUGCCAGAAGCCUCGGUAAUACGAAGGCCCCAAGCGUUAUCCGGAUUUACUGGGCGUAAAGCGUAUGUAGGCGGUUUUAAUAGUGGCUGGUUAAAUUCCGAAGCUCAACUUCGGAGCAGCUAGUCAAACGUUAAGACUAGAGCAAGUGAGAGGCUAAUGGAACUUACCAAGUAGGGGUGAAAUCCGUUGAUAUGGUAGGGAACACCAAAGGCGAAGGCAAUUAGCUGGCGCUUGGCUGACGCUGAGAUACGAAAGCGUGGGUAGCGAACGGGAUUAGAUACCCCUGUAGUC
RNAcentral lists this ribosomal RNA (451 nucleotides) under uncultured bacterium. RNAcentral describes it as "partial 16S ribosomal RNA". It matches the Rfam family "Bacterial small subunit ribosomal RNA", at positions 339 to 795 of the family's 1533-position model. The record is from RNAcentral.